UUGGCGUUGACUCCAAUUGAACCGCAGGCUUCACCCCUUGUGGUGCUCCCCCGCCAAUUCCUUUAAGUUUCAUACUUGCGUACGUACUUCCCAGGCGGCAGACUUAACGGCUUCCCUGCGGCACUGCAUUGGCCACAAGCCAAUGCAUCACCGAGUCUGCAUCGUUUACAGCUGGGACUACCCGGGUAUCUAAUCCGGUUUGCUCCCCCAGCUUUCAUCCCUCACCGUCGAACGUGUUCUGGUACACCGCCUUCGCCACAGGUGGUCUUCAAUAGAUCAAAGGAUUUUACCCCUUCCUAUCGAGUACCGUGUACCUCUCCCACUCCCUAGCUGCACAGUAUUUUCGGCGGCCUAUACGUUAAGCGCAUAGAUUUAACCGAAAACUUAUGCAACCGGCUACGGAUGCUUUAGGCCCAAUAAACCUCCUGACCACUCGAGGUGCUGGUUUUACCGCGGCGGCUGACACCAGAACUUGCCCACCCCUUAUUCACCAGUGAUUCUACAACUGACAAAAGACUCCUUUAGCAGGAGACACUCGGAUUAACCUUGUCGUGCUUUCGCACAUUGCAAAGGUUUCUCGCCUGCUGCGCCCCAUAGGGCCUGGGUCCGUGUCUCAGUACCAUCUCCGGGC
Molecule: ribosomal RNA, 631 nt
Filed under: uncultured archaeon
Lineage: Archaea
Description: partial 16S ribosomal RNA
Source: RNAcentral